This 30-nucleotide ribosomal RNA is filed under the name Chenopodium berlandieri. The record is from RNAcentral. Lineage: Eukaryota; Viridiplantae; Streptophyta; Magnoliopsida; Caryophyllales; Amaranthaceae.
CCUUCUGGGAAGUCCUCGUGUUGCACCCCU